This 447-nucleotide ribosomal RNA is filed under the name uncultured bacterium. RNAcentral's name for it is "bacterial SSU rRNA". It matches the Rfam family "Bacterial small subunit ribosomal RNA", at positions 329 to 793 of the family's 1533-position model. The record is from RNAcentral.
UGCCAGACUCCUACGGGAGGCAGCAGUGGGGGAUAUUGCACAAUGGGGGAAACCCUGAUGCAGCGACGCCGCGUGUAGGAAGACGGUCCUCUGGAUUGUAAACUACUGUCCCCAGGGACGAAGAUGACGGUACCUGGGGAGGAAGCUCCGGCUAACUACGUGCCAGCAGCCGCGGUAAUAUGUAGGGAGCGAGCGUUGUCCGGAAUUACUGGGUGUAAAGGGAGCGUAGGCGGGGAUGCAAGUUGGGUGUUAAAUCUACCGGCUCAACUGGUAGUCGCACUCAAAACUGCAGCUCUUGAGUGAAGUAGAGGCAGGCGGAAUUCCUAGUGUAGCGGUGAAAUGCGUAGAUAUUAGGAGGAACACCAGUGGCGAAGGCGGCCUGCUGGGCUUUUACUGACGCUGAGGCACGAAGGCCAGGGGAGCGAAAGGGAUUAGAUACCCGGGUAG